GUUCAUUGACUCUGGUUCCCUUGUUUGGUUCCUGUUACUCUGUACCUGCGUUCCAGUGAUUCUUGUCUAAUUCCGGCUUCUGACCUUGGCUUUCCUCCUGGACUACUCUGACCUCUGGCUUCCCUGAUUUUGGCUUCCCUUGACCACGCUUCUGCUAAUCCCUGCUGUACUGAGUCUUGGAGCACUUUUCCUGGAAAGCCCCCGUGCACAGACUCACAG
Molecule: non-coding RNA, 219 nt
Organism: Pelobates cultripes (western spadefoot toad)
Lineage: Eukaryota; Metazoa; Chordata; Amphibia; Anura; Pelobatidae
Source: the annotation of a GenBank genome assembly